UGACGGAGGGGGCUAGCGUUGUUCGGAAUUACUGGGCGUAAAGCGCACGUAGGCGGCUUUGUAAGUUAGAGGUGAAAGCCUGGAGCUCAACUCCAGAAUUGCCUUUAAGACUGCAUCGCUUGAAUCCAGGAGAGGUGAGUGGAAUUCCGAGUGUAGAGGUGAAAUUCGUAGAUAUUCGGAAGAACACCAGUGGCGAAGGCGGCUCACUGGACUGGUAUUGACGCUGAGGUGGCGAAAGCGUGGGGAGCAAACAGG
This 255-nucleotide ribosomal RNA is filed under the name uncultured bacterium. RNAcentral describes it as "partial 16S ribosomal RNA". It matches the Rfam family "Bacterial small subunit ribosomal RNA", at positions 523 to 776 of the family's 1533-position model. The record is from RNAcentral.